This 875-nucleotide long non-coding RNA is filed under the name Coffea arabica (coffee). RNAcentral's name for it is "long non-coding RNA (CARA_LNC002353)". Lineage: Eukaryota; Viridiplantae; Streptophyta; Magnoliopsida; Gentianales; Rubiaceae. The record is from RNAcentral.
GAGGGAUGAACUGGUAGGAACCAUCAGGCAGGCGCUCGAUGACUCCCAUCCUCUCCAAGCAGUCUGCGUCCAAGAGCUCCAUCUCGCACGCCAAAUGUAAGUCGUGGUCCUCCAGGUCAAGAACCCCCAACUGUAUCGCCAAGUGAGUGAUAUAUGACCCAAGGAUGAGGGGUUUGUUCUUCUUGGCCAAGACGGUCUUGAACUGUGCGGCCAACCAACACCCCAAGUUCACCUUGAUAUUGUUCUUCAUACUCCAGAGGAAAAAGAAUUCAGGGCGAGAGAGUAUGCCAGAGCUGUCCUUACGCCCCGAGUAGCUGUAGGCUAAGAACCGCUGAACAUAGCGGGCACUAGGGUCCUUAAGAAAUGAGCUCCUAGAUCGGGAAGAAUCGUAACGCUGCUGGUCGACGGACAUUUCUUCCCACACGUCAUGGUAGUGGGAGAGGAACGGCUCUAUGUAGUCACAGGCACUCUCGGCAAACUCCCUACUCCCAGCAUACUCUCUAGUGGCAAACCCAAAUGCCCGAUUGAAUUGGGUAAUGGAGAAAUUGAACUCUCGACCCAUGAGCCGGAAAUGAAUGACCUGUGGUGUGUCAACGGUGUAUCUCGUAGGUAACUCGAACUCAAAGGUGGAGUAAAACUCCCGAGUCAGCUCGACAAAGGCGGGGCAUAAGACAUCUAGAUAUGAGCGCCACCCGAUGGCUGUAAACAUUCGCUCGACUUCCUCUCGUAUGCCUAGACCCAUGACGGUUAAUUUUUCCCAAGUCUUACUUGGUGUAAUACGCCGCUCGCAGACCUUAGCAUACCUCUGCUGAUCGGCGGGUCUAGUGAAGGUUAGGUGCCCCCCAAAGUGAGUAGGGGUAUCUACCUGAGCACCC